AACGAACGCUGGCGGCAUGCCUAACACAUGCAAGUCGAACGAGACCUUCGGGUCUAGUGGCGCACGGGUGCGUAACGCGUGGGAACCUGCCCUUAGGUUCGGAAUAACUCCCCGAAAGGGGUGCUAAUACCGGAUAAUGUCUUCGGACCAAAGAUUUAUCGCCUUUGGAUGGGCCCGCGUUGGAUUAGCUAGUUGGUAGGGUAAAAGCCUGCCAAGGCGACGAUCCAUAGCUGGUCUGAGAGGAUGAUCAGCCACACUGGGACUGAGACACGGACCAGACUGCUACGGGGGACAGCAGUGGAGAAUAUUAGACAAGGGGCGAAAGUGUAAUACAGCAAUGCCGCGGGAGUGAUGAUGGCCUUAGGGUUGUAAAGCUCUUUUACCCGGGAUGAUAAUGACGGUACCGGGAGAAUAAGCACCGGCUAACUCCGUG
Molecule: ribosomal RNA, 433 nt
Filed under: uncultured bacterium
Lineage: Bacteria
Description: partial 16S ribosomal RNA
Rfam family: Bacterial small subunit ribosomal RNA
Source: RNAcentral